This is a non-coding RNA of Triticum aestivum (bread wheat), 125 nucleotides long. The record is from Rfam. Lineage: Eukaryota; Viridiplantae; Streptophyta; Magnoliopsida; Poales; Poaceae.
AAGGUACUUCCUCCAUCCGGAAAUACUUGUCACACGAAUGGAUAUAAAUAGAUGCAUCUAAAACUAAAAUAGUCUUAGAUACAUUCAUUCCUCUGACAAGUAUUUUCGGACGGAGGGAGUACUAA